Long non-coding RNA from Megalobrama amblycephala (Wuchang bream), 639 nucleotides. RefSeq lists it as uncharacterized. The transcript is spliced from 3 exons. NCBI's taxonomy places the organism in Eukaryota, Metazoa, Chordata, Actinopteri, Cypriniformes, Xenocyprididae. The record is from RefSeq and is a predicted model, not a curated record.
CCUGAAUUCCUCUGCUGCUCUUUCAGUGGUAAUGAACUGAAGAGAUUGAAUGAGACUUCAUUCAGAGAAAUGAUCAGGAUCUAGAACAUAAUGUUUCCUAGCGGAGUUUAUGAAAGGAAGCUUCACUCUCAUACUCAUUUCAGGUGGGAGGAUAAAACUGGAAGAUCCUGUUGUGCGUUUUCAGUAAUGACAGGACUGUGUAUUGACACAAUGACAGCUGGAAUGUUUGAUACAUAAUUCAGGGAAGUGUUUCACUUGAGGAUCAGAACGAAAACACCAAUGAAAGAAGAAGCUUCCCUCUCAUACUCAUGUCAGGAUGAGGACAUUGCUGGAAACUCUGCAUUCUUGACGUACUUGACAGUGACGAUAAACUAGACAGUGUGUUGAGCUGUGUGAGAGUUGAGAGUCAGAAAAUGUUUAAAUAUGUGACUCUAUAAGAACUGUGGCGAGAUGUGUCAAGAAAUAUCUGCAAACUACAGUAUGUGAAAUGUUUUAGACACUUUUUUCACACUUGUGAAAAAUUCUGUAAAGUAAAAAACAUGAAUUUAUUUUUUUUAACAAUUAACCUCUGUUAAAUAAAUCAAAUCAAUAUUGACCACCCUUUUCCUUUAAAACAGCUUUUGUCAUAGUUUUUCUUUG